Daphnia carinata is the source of this 1185-nucleotide long non-coding RNA. RefSeq lists it as uncharacterized. The transcript is spliced from 3 exons. Lineage: Eukaryota; Metazoa; Arthropoda; Branchiopoda; Diplostraca; Daphniidae. The record is from RefSeq and is a predicted model, not a curated record.
ACUCAAUGAAAUCUUCAAUGGUGCCGACAUCCUUGUCCUUCUUGAUCUGGCAGAAGAUGGGCAAGAAUUCAUCAGCCUUGAUCUUCUUCUCUCCUGUAAGAUGAGAAUCGUGAAAUGAAACAUCGACAACCAAACAUCACCUCCUUCUGUACGUCUCUAGAGUCACACACUUCCUUAACUGCCAUCGCAUAUUUGGGUCAAUGCUAAUUUUUGCUCUCCGUCUUAACACGCGCAAUUUCAUGAGCAAUGCAAUAACUUGCGCUACGAUAUCGUCGUAAGAUUAUACGCUACGUAAUAGGUAAAAUCAUUUGAAAUGUUGGUGGACAAAAUCAUGCAGAAAUGGAGUCUGAAGGUGAUAGCUUCGACCUAUCAAAAACGUCCAAAAAAAGAGGAAAACAAACGUGAAAACCGAUAUCGGAUGCUAGACGCAAGAAAAAAUUGGAAGGCAAAGUUUUCUUUUUUUUUUCAAUCUCCCCCGCCGUUCGGUGAGCCGGCGAUUUAAUUUUAGUUCCAGCUCGUGGCGUCGUCGCCGCGGAGUCGAAUGGACAAGUUGAGCUACUGCGGAAGCUUUUUGGCAACGCCUCUGUCGGGAGUUCACAUACUGGAAAACUAGGCGGCGGGCGGGUGGAACGUCGGGAGGAGGGAACAGACGUAAACGGAGGCUUUUUCGUGCUCAGCGUACGGGAUACGGGACAAAGAUAGGUACCACUACCGCCACGUUCUUGUGUAUCUUCGACCCAUGGUUGGACUUGUCCUUCUUUCCCUGCUUGCCUCUAGCUGCUCCAAUGUCUAGCAACAACAAAAUUCUCUUAACAUCGUCUAUUUUAGCCUGCGUGUACGGAGCCGCCGAGCCGGACAUUCAAGCGGUGUGUGUUACGCCAGUACCACAUCGGGAACGAUCAGCGUGUUGGCAUGCCUUCAAAUCAGCAACGGGUUCGACAGAGACAAACCAACUCUUUUCUCUGAAGUUUUGCGAUUAAACCAAUUCUAAUGAUUCAUAAGGAUGAAUCUGACUCUCCUGGGCAAAAUUCUGUGGUUCUCUCUUAUGUGCUUCAUACCGAUUCAUUCCAAAUAUAACCUGGGCAGAACAAUUUCCAAUCGCAGCCACACAUUAUGCAAGGGAAUUUGGGACGUUGUGUUUUGAGAGCCGAGAAAUGGAGAAACCAAUAGUUUCCAGACAAUUCC